This 598-nucleotide ribosomal RNA is filed under the name uncultured bacterium. Its description in RNAcentral is "bacterial SSU rRNA". It matches the Rfam family "Bacterial small subunit ribosomal RNA", at positions 102 to 681 of the family's 1533-position model. The record is from RNAcentral.
ACGGGUGAGUAACGCGUGGGGAAUCUACCUUUUAGUGGGGAAUAACGCUCCGAAAGGAGUGGUAAUACCGCAUGAGACCCAUGGCUGGGAUGCUGUGGGUGAAACCCUGGGACCUUCGGGCCAGGGGCUAGAAGAGGAUCCUGCGUCUGAUUAGCUAGUUGGUGAGGUAACGGCCCACCAAGGCAUCGAUCAGUAGCCGGCCUGAGAGGGUGAUCGGCCACACUGGAACUGAGACACGGUCCAGACUCCUACGGGAGGCAGCAGUGGGGAAUUUUGCGCAAUGGGCGAAAGCCUGACGCAGCAACGCCGCGUGGGUGAUGAAGGUCUUCGGAUUGUAAAACCCUGUCGCCAGGGACGAAGGGGGCGAGGUUAACAGCCUUGUUCUUUGACGGUACCUGGAAAGGAAGCCCCGGCUAACUCUGUGCCAGCAGCCGCGGUAAUACAGAGGGGGCAAGCGUUAUUCGGAAUUAUUGGGCGUAAAGGGCGCGUAGGCGGUUUUUUAAGUCGGAUGUGCAAUCCCUGGGCUCAACCCAGGAACUGCAUCCGAGACUGGAAGGCUAGAGUACUGGAGAGGGUGGUGGAAUUCCUCGUGUAGCGG